Molecule: transfer RNA, 97 nt
Filed under: Tautonia plasticadhaerens
Lineage: Bacteria; Pseudomonadati; Planctomycetota; Planctomycetia; Isosphaerales; Isosphaeraceae
Description: Planctomycetes bacterium ElP tRNA-Ala
Source: RNAcentral
CCCCGGUGUUGGGGCGAUUGAUCGACCACCUGGCUUGCGGCCAGUUCGACGAGAGCAAGCCGAUCUUCGUCCGCUGCGCGGAGCGGUGGCCGGGGGC